UGGCGGACGGGUGAGUAACGCGUGAGCAACCUGCCCUUCGGAACGGGAUAGUGUCUGGAAACGGACAGUAAUACCGUAUAACGUAUUUUUACCGCAUGAUAGAAAUACCAAAACUGAGGUGCCGAAGGAUGGGCUCGCGUCUGAUUAGAUAGUUGGUGGGGUAACGGCCUACCAAGUCGACGAUCAGUAGCCAGACUGAGAGGUUGAACGGCCACAUUGGGACUGAGACACGGCCCAGACUCCUACGGGAGGCAGCAUG
RNAcentral lists this ribosomal RNA (259 nucleotides) under uncultured bacterium. Its description in RNAcentral is "partial 16S ribosomal RNA". It matches the Rfam family "Bacterial small subunit ribosomal RNA", at positions 96 to 353 of the family's 1533-position model. The record is from RNAcentral.